RNAcentral lists this transfer RNA (73 nucleotides) under Planctomycetota bacterium. RNAcentral's name for it is "Planctomycetes bacterium (activated sludge metagenome) tRNA-Ala". It matches the Rfam family "tRNA". Rfam says of the family: Transfer RNA (tRNA) molecules are approximately 80 nucleotides in length. Their secondary structure includes four short double-helical elements and three loops (D, anti-codon, and T loops). The record is from RNAcentral. Lineage: Bacteria; Pseudomonadati; Planctomycetota.
GGGGAUGUAGCUCAGUUGGGAGAGCGAUACGUUCGCAACGUAUAGGUCAGGGGUUCAAGUCCCCUCAUCUCCA